GGUAAAGCUAUGGCUUGAUAAUGUAUGGAGCAGGCGACCAGGUGGACUUAUUCAAAAAUGUAGUCUACUGGUGUGGGAUAUGUUUAGGGCUCAUUUAACUCCCAGCACUAAGCAAAGGCUUGCAAGACUAAACACAGAUACGGCAGUUAUUCCUGCAGGAUUGACAUCGUUGGUACAGCCACUGGAUGUGUGCCUAAACAAGCCAUUUAAAGAUCGCAUUCGAGAACAGUGGAAUGAAUGGAUGGUUAGCGGCGAAAAGUCAUUCACAAAAGGAGGAAACAUGCGUGCUCCACAGUUGGAUGUUUUGUGCAAGUUUGUCAUAAAAGCCUGGAAUGAUAUUGAUGCAGAAACAGUAAUCAAGUCUUUCAAGAAGUGUGGCAUAUCAAAUUCAUUAGAUGGUAUGGAGGACGACUACUUGUGGCAAGAUGAAGAGGAAGCCGAAGCUGAGACCACACCAUCUGAUACACCAUCUGAUACAGAAUUCGAUCCA
This 490-nucleotide long non-coding RNA is filed under the name Pelobates cultripes (western spadefoot toad). The record is from RNAcentral. Lineage: Eukaryota; Metazoa; Chordata; Amphibia; Anura; Pelobatidae.